GUCCACGCCCUAAACGAUGAUAACUCGAUGUUGGCGAUACACUGUCAGCGUCCAAGCGAAAGCAUUAAGUUAUCCACCUGGGGAGUACGACCGCAAGGUUGAAACUCAAAGGAAUUGACGGGGGCCCGCACAAGCGGAGGAGCAUGUGGUUUAAUUCGAUGAUACGCGAGGAACCUUACCAGGGCUUGAAAGUUAGUGAAUGUCGUAGAAAUAUGACAGCAAGCAAUUGCACGAAACUAGGUGCUGCAUGGCUGUCGU
Molecule: ribosomal RNA, 258 nt
Filed under: uncultured bacterium
Lineage: Bacteria
Description: partial 16S ribosomal RNA
Rfam family: Bacterial small subunit ribosomal RNA
Source: RNAcentral